GCCUGUGAUGAAACUUGUGAAUAGGAAGUGCCGUCCGAUUCGAUAACUGACGAUGUGUCUGUCACUGCUCUGAGC
Molecule: small nucleolar RNA, 75 nt
Filed under: Neogobius melanostomus (round goby)
Lineage: Eukaryota; Metazoa; Chordata; Actinopteri; Gobiiformes; Gobiidae
Description: Small nucleolar RNA SNORD49 (ENSNMLG00000011420.1)
Rfam family: Small nucleolar RNA SNORD49
About the family: U49 belongs to the C/D class of snoRNA which contain the C (UGAUGA) and D (CUGA) box motifs. Most of the members of the box C/D family function in directing site-specific 2'-O-methylation of substrate RNAs.
Source: Rfam by way of RNAcentral